UUCUUCCUUUCAGUGAUUGUUUUGUGAAUAUAAUUUAAAACAUACUGUGUUCUGACUGAACUCGGAGUAUUUGAUCUAAAAGCAGUUUUAAAAAAGGAUUAAGUCACGUUGACCCAUCAGGUAAAUGUUCCCACCUGAGAGAAAAAUUCAAAUCUAAACUGUGACUCUGUUUGAUUUAUUACCAUUAAUAGGAGAGAUGAUGAACAGGGACAGGUAAUAAAUAAACUAUCACACAUAAACAAAGUCCCAGCGAGCUGUAGUGAACAUCUGUGUUGUCAUUCUAUCAGCUGAUUGUGCUGAAUAAACACAAAUGAUACAAACAGUCACAGGAUGUAAUGAGGAAUCGUUAGACCGGCCCGGGAUUCACUGCCUGCGCUCUGUGCAGCUCGUGACCGUUUCUUCACUGAACAGCUGGUGAUCUGUGCUUUGUGCAGUGACAUGCGCACGUUACCACGUUUAAAAAGAUAAACUAAUUAACGUUUAAACUGUUGGUGAUUUUUCUUAAUGUUUAACGUUAAAACGUUUAGAAGUCACACCUCUACUGUGAUCGCUGCACGACCAUAGACUGUCUGCACGCCACCUCUACCAUCUCCGUGCUCUAAUCAACCUGCUGCUGCAUGUUUCCUGUUCUCCAGGAUGUUCUUCUCCACUCUUUAGUUCAACUACACAUAGUAGCAUUGAUACAAAGACACAUAUUCUCUUUAUAGAGUCGUAUUCUCUGCUGCUCCUUCCAACACUUCCUCGUUGUUUUUUUAACUUGUUUUGAUCUCGGAAACCGUAAAUUCCGCGUUGCUGGUCUGAUACGUCAUCAGGAACGCCCCCCGAAGUCGGAAUUACGACCUGGAACCUCUGAGGACCUUCAGUAGCCCGAGUCCAGAUCCAAUAUGGCUGCUACGUGCAUUAACAGGGAUCUUUAAUCUGUAACUGCUUACAGGGCUCGACAUUCUAACUGGCCCGGAUGAAUGAUUGAUAGAGUAUUUUAACUGGCUCGGGCCACUGCCUGAAAGAAAAUAGACAGUAACACGUUCUCAAUUUCACAGCGCUAUCCUGUUAUACCGGCGUUUUGUCAGUAAUCAUUUUAAAAACGUCAUCAACGUAUUGAAUCAACGUACAGUUGAAAGGCAGCCGACGGCUUCACUGCUGUCACUCCCGCGAGCGCGCUCACUACUCUCGAAUUGUACACUCACACACAGAUCUUAACAGGUUUUCACUGAUUAAAAAACACGUUUGGUAAAACGUUUUUAAAACCAUCAGAUCCCGACAAAAGCCGAGUUAAAAUCAGCAUUCAAAGAGAAAAAAUCAUCGGAAGAGUCAGAGUGACAAGUAGCAGCCCUCGACCAAGACAACAUAUGAGGAAGCGUGGAGAUCGACUGAUGCGAUUUAUUUAUUUCAUUUCAAGCACCGUGAAACUAGAAAAAAGCCAAAAUAAAGCCAAAAUGAACAGAAAACUGUGUUCAAUUCAUGACAGAUAUAUAAAUAUUUAUGAUUCAUUCCUAAACAAACAUUUCACAGGGCAACAUUUUACUUUAAACAAACACAAACAAUAACAUCCACAUCACAACAGGCCUGAUUCAAACACACAUCACAUUAAACACUUACAACAAUAUUGCACAAUCCCUUUAUAGUAGCGAACCUCUCAAUUCAUUCAUAAAUCAUUCAAUUAACAUCUUCCCUUUGGACACAGCGAUCUCCAUAAACCUUCGAACCUUCAUGCUUAAUGGUAAACCAUAAAACCCUGUUUUAGUAUCGCAUUUGGAGCAAACAAACAAUUGACCAUAAUUCAUGUUCCGGGGUGGAGCAACAACAAACAACCCAAAUAGGCUCCUUUGGCCACUUACAUGAUGUGUGUAAAGAUCCAGAUGUUGACGAGCAGGAGGUGAAGAUGGUCCUUUGGGUGCUCAGAGUGCUCACAUGUAAACAGUGUGAAGUGGAUUCAAAGUUUGUCGGUGCUGAUGAGCAGCUCGUCUCAGAAACAGGACGAAGCUCCAACAUCAGCCUCCUCACUGCUGAGAGCCAAAAACCAAAAGGAGGCUGAGAGCCGAGCAGGAGGAGACUGAGCAUCAGAGCAGAGCUGACGUCACACUGCUCACACACACACACACACACACACACACACACACACCUGCUGCUGUUCUCUGUGUGUCCAAUGUGACGUCCAGUCUGAUCUGAGUGUGAUAUGAAACUACACUCUGAGUGAUACACAAAGUUUUUGUUUCUUUUUCAGGUUCUUCAACUGGAUAUCGUGAUAUCUUUAGUCUGGGAAUUACUUUGGUUGGUUUAGUUUUUGUGGCUGUUGUGCUGGGUUUUGCAUAAAGCGUCACUGUAUAAAUCAUAAAAAGGUUCAAAUGCAGAUUGAGUCUUCCAGUGGACUCUUGUAGCCAUCUAAAACAACUCUGUGAAGUAUGUGUGACCUUAAGUAUUACUGGAUUACAUGGAGGGCAGAGGGGUGGCUGAAUCAAGUUCAACAUAAAGUAAGAGAGUAUUUAGAGCUGUAUGGGGCUUUAUGAAAGUGUUCAUCAACUUUGUUAACUCAGGCUUUCUGCUUCAUACUCUGAGCAUCGACGCUUCUUCUUCUGCACAAAAUGGAUUGAUCACAGGCUGUCUGCUUCUGUCAGUUUAUAUAUAACAUAUAACUUUAGUUUGAAGUUUAAAUGUUUUUUUAUUUUAUUAUUGUGUCACAUACAUUUAUAUGCCCAGCCCGCAUGGGCUUACGUGACACCAUAAAUUAAAAUGUUCCAGGAUCAGAGUGCACUCGGUAAACUAUAUUCAUUGUCAAGAAACAAAAAGAGAAAGUCAAACUAAUUAAACAGAAUAUCCUGUCUUCUUUUCCAGGCCUUUGAAACUGUUGAAAGAUCAGAAAGAGUUAUGCAAUUGUUGAAUUUGUUUUUAUCAUAUAUGUUCUUUUUCUUUUAUUAUCACUUAAUCUUUUUAUCAUUUCAUUCAUGUCAUAUAUACGACUUUUGGGUUUUUUGGCUUUUAUAUUUCCUGUCAAUCCUACACACACCCGUGGUGCCUAUGCACCUGUGAGGUCAGGAUAAGUGUGCCAUACAUUGAGCAAAACCACAUACGAGCUCGUAGGCGUAUAGCGUUUCUGCGAAUCUGCCUGGUUCACGGUCUUCAAGCUAAAACCACAUCUGAACUUAGUGUCACCUGUGUUACCUUGUAUGAUUUGACAUUAAAACCACAUAUGAACUUAGUAUCACCUGUGUUACCUUGUAUGAUUUGACAUUAAAACCACACAUGAACUUAGUAUCACCUGUGUUACCUUGUAUGAUUUGACAUUAAAACCACAUAUGAACUUAGUAUCACCUGUGUUACCUUGUGUGAUUUGACAUUAAAACCACAUAUGAACUUAGUAUCACCUGUGUUACCUUGUAUGAUUUGACAUUAAAACCACAUAUGAACUUAGUAUCACCUGUGUUACCUUGUGUGAUUUGACAUUAAAACCACAUAUGAACUUAGUAUCACCUGUGUUACCUUGUAUGAUUUGACAUUAAAACCACAUAUGAACUUAGUAUCACCUGUGUUACCUUGUAUGAUUUGACAUUAAAACCACAUAUGAACUUAGUAUCACCUGUGUUACCUUGUAUGAUUUGACAUUAAAACCACAUAUGAACUUAGUAUCACCUGUGUUACCUUGUAUGAUUUGACAUUAAAACCACAUAUGAACUUAGUAUCACCUGUGUUACCUUGUGUGAUUUGACAUUAAAACCACAUAUGAACUUAGUAUCACCUGUGUUACCUUGUAUGAUUUGACAUUAAAACCACAUAUGAACUUAGUAUCACCUGUGUUACCUUGUAUGAUUUGACAUUAAAACCACAUAUGAACUUAG
Molecule: long non-coding RNA, 3833 nt
Organism: Labrus mixtus (cuckoo wrasse)
Lineage: Eukaryota; Metazoa; Chordata; Actinopteri; Labriformes; Labridae
Exons: 2
Source: RefSeq, a predicted model, not a curated record